GCCGAGGUAGCUCAGCUGGUAGAGCGUCGCAGUCGCCACGGUGAUUUGCGGAGGUGGUGGGUUCGAAUCCCGCACUCGGCU
RNAcentral lists this transfer RNA (81 nucleotides) under Candidatus Kaiserbacteria bacterium. RNAcentral describes it as "tRNA-OTHER". It matches the Rfam family "tRNA". Rfam says of the family: Transfer RNA (tRNA) molecules are approximately 80 nucleotides in length. Their secondary structure includes four short double-helical elements and three loops (D, anti-codon, and T loops). Further hydrogen bonds mediate the characteristic L-shaped molecular structure. tRNAs have two regions of fundamental functional importance: the anti-codon, which is responsible for specific mRNA codon recognition, and the 3' end, to which the tRNAs corresponding amino acid is attached (by aminoacyl-tRNA synthetases). tRNAs cope with the degeneracy of the genetic code in two manners: having more than one tRNA (with a specific anti-codon) for a particular amino acid; and 'wobble' base-pairing, i.e. permitting non-standard base-pairing at the 3rd anti-codon position. Lineage: Bacteria; Candidatus Kaiseribacteriota. The record is from RNAcentral.